This 1815-nucleotide ribosomal RNA is filed under the name Escherichia coli. RNAcentral describes it as "partial 23S ribosomal RNA". It matches the Rfam family "Bacterial large subunit ribosomal RNA", at positions 999 to 2798 of the family's 2925-position model. The record is from RNAcentral. Lineage: Bacteria; Pseudomonadati; Pseudomonadota; Gammaproteobacteria; Enterobacterales; Enterobacteriaceae.
UAACGUCCGUCGUGAAGAGGGAAACAACCCAGACCGCCAGCUAAGGUCCCAAAGUCAUGGUUAAGUGGGAAACGAUGUGGGAAGGCCCAGACAGCCAGGAUGUUGGCUUAGAAGCAGCCAUCAUUUAAAGAAAGCGUAAUAGCUCACUGGUCGAGUCGGCCUGCGCGGAAGAUGUAACGGGGCUAAACCAUGCACCGAAGCUGCGGCAGCGACGCUUAUGCGUUGUUGGGUAGGGGAGCGUUCUGUAAGCCUGUGAAGGUGUGCUGUGAGGCAUGCUGGAGGUAUCAGAAGUGCGAAUGCUGACAUAAGUAACGAUAAAGCGGGUGAAAAGCCCGCUCGCCGGAAGACCAAGGGUUCCUGUCCAACGUUAAUCGGGGCAGGGUGAGUCGACCCCUAAGGCGAGGCCGAAAGGCGUAGUCGAUGGGAAACAGGUUAAUAUUCCUGUACUUGGUGUUACUGCGAAGGGGGGACGGAGAAGGCUAUGUUGGCCGGGCGACGGUUGUCCCGGUUUAAGCGUGUAGGCUGGUUUUCCAGGCAAAUCCGGAAAAUCAAGGCUGAGGCGUGAUGACGAGGCACUACGGUGCUGAAGCAACAAAUGCCCUGCUUCCAGGAAAAGCCUCUAAGCAUCAGGUAACAUCAAAUCGUACCCCAAACCGACACAGGUGGUCAGGUAGAGAAUACCAAGGCGCUUGAGAGAACUCGGGUGAAGGAACUAGGCAAAAUGGUGCCGUAACUUCGGGAGAAGGCACGCUGAUAUGUAGGUGAAGUCCCUUGCGGAUGGAGCUGAAAUCAGUCGAAGAUACCAGCUGGCUGCAACUGUUUAUUAAAAACACAGCACUGUGCAAACACGAAAGUGGACGUAUACGGUGUGACGCCUGCCCGGUGCCGGAAGGUUAAUUGAUGGGGUCAGCGCAAGCGAAGCUCUUGAUCGAAGCCCCGGUAAACGGCGGCCGUAACUAUAACGGUCCUAAGGUAGCGAAAUUCCUUGUCGGGUAAGUUCCGACCUGCACGAAUGGCGUAAUGAUGGCCAGGCUGUCUCCACCCGAGACUCAGUGAAAUUGAACUCGCUGUGAAGAUGCAGUGUACCCGCGGCAAGACGGAAAGACCCCGUGAACCUUUACUAUAGCUUGACACUGAACAUUGAGCCUUGAUGUGUAGGAUAGGUGGGAGGCUUGGAAGUGUGGACGCCAGUCUGCAUGGAGCCGACCUUGAAAUACCACCCUUUAAUGUUUGAUGUUCUAACGUUGACCCGUAAUCCGGGUUGCGGACAGUGUCUGGUGGGUAGUUUGACUGGGGCGGUCUCCUCCUAAAGAGUAACGGAGGAGCACGAAGGUUGGCUAAUCCUGGUCGGACAUCAGGAGGUUAGUGCAAUGGCAUAAGCCAGCUUGACUGCGAGCGUGACGGCGCGAGCAGGUGCGAAAGCAGGUCAUAGUGAUCCGGUGGUUCUGAAUGGAAGGGCCAUCGCUCAACGGAUAAAAGGUACUCCGGGGAUAACAGGCUGAUACCGCCCAAGAGUUCAUAUCGACGGCGGUGUUUGGCACCUCGAUGUCGGCUCAUCACAUCCUGGGGCUGAAGUAGGUCCCAAGGGUAUGGCUGUUCGCCAUUUAAAGUGGUACGCGAGCUGGGUUUAGAACGUCGUGAGACAGUUCGGUCCCUAUCUGCCGUGGGCGCUGGAGAACUGAGGGGGGCUGCUCCUAGUACGAGAGGACCGGAGUGGACGCAUCACUGGUGUUCGGGUUGUCAUGCCAAUGGCACUGCCCGGUAGCUAAAUGCGGAAGAGAUAAGUGCUGAAAGCAUCUAAGCACGAAACUUGCC